This 253-nucleotide ribosomal RNA is filed under the name uncultured bacterium. RNAcentral describes it as "partial 16S ribosomal RNA". It matches the Rfam family "Bacterial small subunit ribosomal RNA", at positions 524 to 776 of the family's 1533-position model. The record is from RNAcentral.
UACAGAGGUCUCAAGCGUUGUUCGGAUUCAUUGGGCGUAAAGGGUGCGUAGGUGGCGCUGUAAGUCGGGUGUGAAAUUUCGGAGCUCAACUCCGAAACUGCAUUCGAUACUGCGGUGCUUGAGGACUGGAGAGGAGACUGGAAUUCAUGGUGUAGCAGUGAAAUGCGUAGAUAUCUGGAGGAACACCGGUGGCGAAGGCGGCAUCCUGGACCGGCAUUGACGCUGAGGCGCGAAAGCCAGGGGAGCAAACAGG